GCUGGGCAUGGUGGCGCAUGCCUGUAGUCCCCACUACUGGGAGACAGAAGCGGGAGGAUCACUUGAGCUCAGGAGUUUGAUGCCAGCCUGGGCAACAUAGUGAGACCCUGUUUCUA
Molecule: unclassified non-coding RNA, 116 nt
Organism: Callithrix jacchus (white-tufted-ear marmoset)
Lineage: Eukaryota; Metazoa; Chordata; Mammalia; Primates; Cebidae
Rfam family: Metazoan signal recognition particle RNA
About the family: The signal recognition particle (SRP) is a universally conserved ribonucleoprotein. It is involved in the co-translational targeting of proteins to membranes.
Source: Ensembl